Long non-coding RNA from Amphiprion ocellaris (clown anemonefish), 4096 nucleotides. The record is from Ensembl. Lineage: Eukaryota; Metazoa; Chordata; Actinopteri; Pomacentridae.
GUCCCUCCAUCUGCUGAAAUGUCUCUUGUUCAGUGAAUUUAUCUUAAAUCAAGUGGGAUGAGACAUUUUGACCAAAAAUAAGACACAUAGACUUGGUAGGAUUUAGAGUUUUUGCAGUUCUCGGCCAGACUGGUUGAAUAUUCCACGCACCAAUAUCAAAUUCUGUCCUUCGUAUCUGAUUUUUUCUCUUCUAACCUUUAUUUCCCUUUCUGCCUUAACCUCCAACAUCCCCUGAUUAUCAGCGAGAGCGCCGAUGGCUCAACUUGCUGCUGAGAUUUCUCCUUUCUAACCGUCUGAUUGCCUCAGCCAGAGCUGCUCCAGCGACUGUUGUCAGUGUGAGUUUUUGUCAACGCUGCUCGAAGCGUUUUGCUGUUAAUUAUUUAAAUAGUUUGUGCCUGCAGUGACGUGACUCGUGUCGUAGAUGUAGGAAAGCUGAUUCUGAUUUCACUUCAUCAUGCAAACUUUCACCCGUCCAGAUAUUAAAGGAAUCGGUUACGUUGAGUUGAAUAAAUGGCCACUACAGCUCAAACACAUUUAAAUAAUGCGGUAUUUAACAUUUCUUCAGAGUUUGGAUGAAUUUUAAAGGACUACAUUGAUUUAUUUGAACAGUUUUUUCAUCAGUCGGUUUACUCGAUAUAAAAGAGCACCAGUUCCAUCAUUAGAGUCUGUCUCCAGUAGAUCUAUCGUGCAUCUUCCGUGCACGCAGGCAGCUACCAUUACACUACAAAUCACUACAGCAGAUGUGACAGUAAACAGCUGAAACCUGUGAACACAUGGAAUCUUUUUACUGCUGAAAAAACAACCGUGCUGUCCGGUGGGAUCGGUCUAAAUCUAGAUUUACCUUUAACCCUCCUGUCGUCCUCAUCUAUUUUAUUUUUUUAAUUUUAUUAUCCCUUAUUAAUCCUACAAGGGAAAUUCUGAUUUUUGCAUAUCCCUUCAAUUUGGGGGUCAGAGCGCAGGGUCAGCCGCGGUACAGCGCCCCCUGGAGCAGGAAGGGUUAAGGGCCUCGCUCAAGGGCCCCACAGUGGCCACAUCGGGGUUUGAACCUCUGACCUGAUCAGUAGUCCAGAGACUUAACCGUUGCACCACCACUGCACCAUUUAUGGGCACCAAAAAAUACUGUUUCCUUGUCUGAAAAAAAAUCAAAAAAUUCAGCCAAAAAAAUUCCAAUAAUUCCUUAAAUGUUUCCCUUAAAAGUUUUAUUUUUUUUAAAAAUCCCCCAAAUUUGGCAAGAAAAUUCUUGUAAAUAUUUUUCAAAAAAUGAGUAAAAAUCUUCUUAAAAAAAAAUCCUAAAAAUAUCUAAAGUGAUUCCAUAUAUGUCAGUAAAACUUGUAAUAUUUUCUUUAAGAACAUUCACAUAAAAAUCAACCAAAAUCCAGUGAAUUUCGCUGGAUUUUGUUAGAUAUUUUUGUGAAUGUUCUUAAGAAACAUUUUUAACAUUUCUUUUUUUCCCCAACAAAAAAGUUUCAAAGAUUUCCCAAAAAUGUUGAAAAUGUUGACAUCAGAAGUUUCACUGUGAAAAUAUAUAUUUUUUCCACAUUUUCAAACUUUAAAACGGGUCAAUUUUGACCCACAGGACGACACGAGGGUUAAAACCAUCCAGACAGUCCAGGAGAUUGUCAGAAUCAGAAUGUUUAGUGGAAAAUAAAACUAUUUCUUUGUGUCUGCUAUUCUACGGUUGCAGGUUGAGAUACCAGCAAACACUGCCAAAACAUAACACCAACUAACAACUAAUACAAGCGUUUUAUGUAACCAGCCUUCAUUUAUUUUCUUCACCAGCAUCUCUAAUCUCAUUUAUCACUUCACCUCUCCAGACUGUCGACCAGUCAGCUCUACUAACCCGCUCUGAGCACUUCCUUACAGUCUUACUAUACAUUAUUCAUAUUCAUGCCGGCUGGUGAUGGUUAUUGAGCAUUCUACACAUGAAAUACAGAGAAAAAGUGUCUUCGAUGCAUGUUGGGAAACAAAACCAGUGUGUAAAACUGUCAAAGUUUAGUCUAAACCAGGGGAGUCAAAUUCAUUCUAGUCCAGGUUCCACAUUGAGCCCAGUCUGAUCUCCAGUGGACCGGACCAGUAAAACCACAGCAUAAUAACCUGUAAAUAACCACAACUCCUAAUGGUUCCUUUGUUUUAGUGCAAAAAUGUUCAUUCUGAAAAUGUUCACAUUUAAGGAAUUAUCUUUUUGCAAAACAUGACCAACCUGAACAUAAAUUCAAUUUCAUCAACACAGCCUCAGUUUAUCAUUUCCACAUUACAACUUCCAGAUCACAGAUUGUCUACAAAGGAACACAACAUUUAGUCACCUGGAACUGAACCAGAGAGGAUUUUACUUUAUGAUCACAGCAACAAAAGUCAGACAAGAAAGACAAAAAACAACAAAACCAAGACAAAAUAUUACAAAAAUGAGACGCAAAAUGACAAAACAUGAGACAAACGACACGAAACAAAACACAAGAGACAAAAAAAUAGACAAAAAUGUUACAAAGCAUCUAAAAAAACGGACAAAUUUCACAAACGAGACCAAAAAAUAUGACAAAAAACACAAGCGAAACAAAAAGGAAACACAACAAAAGUCAGAAAAAGACAAAAAACAAAAACGACAAAAUAUUACAAAAAAUGAGACACAAAACAACAGCACAAUGAAGAAUCUAGUAUUUUACUUUCUGACCCAAACAACUUGUCAUGGUCUAGAAAUGAUUUUAAAUUUAUAGUUUUACUAAUUUACAAUCUGCAGUUAAUGUCUUCUCUGGAAUUUUUACACUUUGAGGGCCGGAUUGGACCCUCUGGAGGACCGCUUUUGGCCCGUGGACCACAUGUUUGACUCCCCUGGUCUAAACUUCUAAAAGAAGCUCAAACUGUCGCAGGUCCUGAGGAUUCCUUUGGAAAAACGUGCUGAUUAUUUUAAAGCUGUCUGUAAAUGAAGCCGUUACCGAGCAUCGCCUCUCACUCGUUCUCUCUCUUUAUUUCUAAAUCAAAUCCAAAUGAAUAAAUCUGGCCUCUUUUAAGCAGGAAGUAAAGCUGUCUGUGAGGUCUAACGGUCUGUUUUCAUGUGAAAAAAUAAAAAAAGUUUUUCUCAUGCCAUAGAGCUCUGCUAUGGAUCUGAAAGGUAACAAAAAAAAAUCUUUUCUUGUUUGUACAGUGUUCCUCCUUCUUUAGACUGCAAGCUGUAGUACACUGUGAACGUGUGAAUCCAUUGUGUCCUUUUGUCAUAGAGUCGAGCGGAUAGUUUGAUUGUGGAGAGACGUAGCCGGUAGUUUGUGACGGAAACUUUCCAACGUACAGAAGAAGUCUGACAGCAGCGAACUGGAAAGACACAGUGCCUUUGAAUAAGAAAACUGGUUCCAUUCCUCUCAGUGUCUGCAUUAAAAGUUUCACACCUCCAUCGUCCUGACGGUUUUUUCUUUUUAACACUUUUUCAUGGUUGUAAAAUUAGCAAAGCUUUGUUUCAACUGUCUCAUGCUCUGAGUGGACGUUUCAGUGUGUUUCCUGUACAUAGAUAUAUAUUCGGUUCUUCACACUUUCCUUGUUAAAUGAUGCUUUAUUACAAUUUGGAUCGUAUAUAUGUGGAUUUAAGCAUCAUUUCUGUUAUUAUGAUAUAAGUUAUACACAGAUGAUUUAUGUCUGGAGAUUGGAAAUGCUUAAAUGCAUGAACUUAAGUAGGUUUGAAGUCGUAUAAAAGAUGCUAAAAUAAGACCCAAGUUGUAAUAAACAGGAUUUAAAAGAAUAAAAGCUCGCAUCACAUGACAUCAAAGUCCAUCGACUCUUUGCUCAGGUCCCAUAUUCUCUAAAAUAUCUGAAAUAGUUCAAUUUGUCUGGAGCAAGCAUGCGGAAAUAUAUUCCAGAUGGAUAUGAUGUUUCUGUGGAGAAAAUAAUGAAGACUUCAUGAUCUGUAUUUUUUCCUGUGUUGUGUAACUUGUCCUGUUUCUCAAAUUCUGCUUCAAAAGAAACCUGUUUGUUUUUUCUCACGGAGCUCUGAAAUGUAAUAAAGGAAAAAAGGGAGAAGAAUCGUAAGAAAACUUCACUGUUUCUGCUGAAAUAUAGUGUGAAAAUAUACAACGGAUGACAUUUCUCUUGUUUGUUUCGUCUUGAAAAAUAG